AUUGAACGCUGGCGGCAGGCCUAAUACAUGCAAGUAGAACGAGUUGCGAACGGGUGAGUAACGCGUGGUAACCUGCCUCAUAUCUGGGGAUAACUACUGGAAACGGUAGCUAAUACCGCAUACCAUCAGAUGUGCCCAGAUGGGAUUGGCUUGUUGGUGGGGUAACGGCUCACCAAGGCGACGAUCCCUAGCUGGUCUGAGAGGAUGACCAGCCACACUGGAAGUGAGACACGGUCCAGACUCCUACGGGAGGCAGCAGUGGGGAAUAUAGCACAAUGGGAGCAAGCCUGAUGCAGCCAUGCCGCGUAGAUGAAGAAGGCCUUGGGGUAGUAAAGUACUUUCAGCGUGGAGGAGUUACCAGCAGAAGAAGCACCGGCUAACUCCGUGCCAGCAGCCGCGGUAAUAC
RNAcentral lists this ribosomal RNA (406 nucleotides) under uncultured bacterium. Its description in RNAcentral is "partial 16S ribosomal RNA". It matches the Rfam family "Bacterial small subunit ribosomal RNA", at positions 30 to 526 of the family's 1533-position model. The record is from RNAcentral.